Long non-coding RNA from Mercenaria mercenaria, 3600 nucleotides. RefSeq lists it as uncharacterized. The record is from RefSeq and is a predicted model, not a curated record. The transcript is spliced from 3 exons. NCBI's taxonomy places the organism in Eukaryota, Metazoa, Mollusca, Bivalvia, Venerida, Veneridae.
GUGUGCCCGAAGCGGUCCGAAUGUGCGCGUGCCCAAAAUGGCGACUAAAUUGAAUAAUUUAUGUAGCCUCAAAUUUUCAUCAAUUUCUAACUGACAGCUAAUAUUGAGAAAAAAUCUUACAGGCAUGUGUUGAAAACAUCACAACGUUCUCAUUUGUUAUAAAUGCAGACUUUUGUACAUGUUUGUAGAAUGUUUCUCCUCGGACAAUUGUGCAGUACUUUACGACCAAAAAUGUUUGGAGAAAUGUGUCAGUUGACCACAGUGAAUAUUCAUAGAUAUGUCUGCCUCAAAAAGACCUCCCUGUCGAUGUUUCAAACACAUUUGUUGUUGUUGUUUCUAAAGGCAUUGGUAUGGUUCUUACAAUUCUUGCGAAACUGUGCAAGGGUUUUAAAUAGUAAAAAGAAAGAUUUAUUCUUAAACAAAUCUCAGUAACAAGAACAGAGCAGCCAAGAAAAUGGUACAACAGAAGUUGAGAUUUUGUGAGGCAUAUGUGUUGAAGAUCUCUUUCAUAGUAAUAAGCAUGUUUAAAAUGUCUAUAGAUGUUAGAUUAGGUUUAGCACAAUUUUUCAACACUAUUUCAGUAUUAUGGCAUCUGAUUAACCUGUCGAAUUUUCAUGUCUCUAUAAAAGCUUAUUAGCUUUGAGCAAUUUUACAUGUUCUGUUUUUAUGAGAGUGAUAAAAGUAUUGUCACAUAGAGCAGGAGCCUGGUCUACCUGCUGUACUAAUGGGGCAUACGCAAGAUGAACUUUAUAAAUCUAACAAGAUUUGUAACUAUGCAGUAUGUAGGAUUAAGAACAUACUUGUACUCUUGAAGUAAUUGACAACUUCGCCCUCAUCAAUGGUAAAAUCAGAGGUACAUGAAUGGCAGGUUGUCUUUUGUCAGAUUUUCAUUGAAAGCAUUCACCUCGCCAUGGGAUCAAACUUGUGGCCUUCCGAUGUGUUUUACUUACAUUGUGCUGACUUUACUGCGCUGGGUUUCCUCAAACAAGUUCUUCUUUUUUAGUCUAUUGCUUUGUACAUCUUAGUGCUAUUGACAUUGCUUAACUAACACUUAUCCAUCUCAGACACUUGUUACUAUAAAUGAGAUCUUGUAUAUAACUGCCUGUAUUUGAAAUCUCAACUUCUACUAUUUAAUAAACAACUAGUUUACAUGUAUCGCUGUAAAAAGCUAGUUAUAAAAUUAUUCUUAAAGCUUUGAUAUUAACAAGUAAUAUUAAAGGCAACUUUCAAGAGUUUUGACUCUGCUUGGUGCAGAAAGAGUACGUUAUUAUAAUAUACAAGUUAAUUUUACUCUGAUGUAUUUUCGCUCGUUUGUAAACUUAUUUGAAUUGCUACAUAUAGAGUUUACUCCACUUAAAAUAUUUGAAUUGCAUAUGGUCAGAUUGUGGUCCUGGCGGAUUGGAUUUGAUCUCGACUGAUGAGGUUUGGUCCGAUUGUGACCCUAUUUGCUUGGGUCAGAUCAUGACCCUAGUUGGGUAUGAUCAAAUUUUGACCCUGGUGGGGUUCGGUCCGAUUAUGACUUUAGUUGUCUACGAUCAAAUCGUUACCCUGGAGGGGUUCGAACCUGCAACAUCUGGUUUGUGAAGUAGAACGCCUUAACCAUGAGGAUAUUAGAAAAGCAAGUCACAUGACAUGUAUGACAUAUAUGUAUUGAGAAGUCUUAAAAUAUUUGGGUUGUGCAUAUACUCCCAAAUGAGCGCUGGUGUUAACUAUGCCAAGACACGGUAUUUAAUAUAAAUAUGUUAAAUGACUUCUUGGAUGAUAAACAUGUGGCAUACACACAGUUAUAAUAAAGUUAGAAAGAAACUUGUAUAUCUGAAUGUAGCCAGCUGUUAGCUUGUUUGGAGAAUCUGGUAAACUUAAUAUUUUUAACAUGUGAUAGAAGCAUAUUGGAAAAGCUGUCACCAAAUAUAAUCAGUAUUUGUCUGAUUUUAUUUGAAAACAGCCAGAAAAGGUAGGUGCACUAUUAGUCUAACCAUUUUACUAUUGUUAUUAAAAGUGCAUGUAUAAAGAAACACCAGUCGAUGGUCAUUAUAGAUAAAAGUCAAAAAUAUUAAUUUUAAUAAAUAUAUUCAUCUUCUUACAAAACUGAAUGUUGAACAGUACAGUUCUAGAAAAAGUUCAGGUAAAUUAUUUCCAUAUUUAAUGGUGUUUAAAUUUUUUCACAAAGUUAGGUUUUAUCAGAGACCCUUAUGGGAUUCUUCAGUUUAUGAUAUUUUGAGACAAUGACUGCAAUAUUGGUACACUUCAGACUGGUAAAGCGUUUAUGUAAUUUAAAUGAAAUAUGCCAAGAUAUAUGCCCUACACGUCUGAUUAUGAGAUUUUGUUAGAAUCAAGGUCAGAGGUUAUCACUGUUAAAGGCACUGGCCUCCAGAUUUUCACUAAAAAUGAUCUUUCUUUAAAAUUGAAGUUUGGUCAUGUUAUGAACACUAGAACUUGAGUGUUUGUUUCUUAAAUGUCCUAAAAAUGGCAAAUUAAGAAAAAACACGCCAGAGUCGGGAAUUGAACAUGGGCCACCACGGCAAUAAAAUUUUUCCUGUUUUCUUGACCAAUACACCACGGAGGAAUACAUAUGGGGGAGACAUAUUGUUUUUGCCCUGUCCGUCCGUCACACUUCAUUUCCGAUCAAUAACUGGAGAACCAUUUGACCUAGAACCUUCAAACUUCAUAGGGUGGUAGGGCUGCUGGAGUCGACGAUCCCUAUUGUUUUUUGGGUCACUCCAUCAAAGGUCAAGGUCACAGGGACCUUGAUCCAGAAUGUUGAAACUUGAUAGGAUGAUUGAACAUGGAGAGUAGAUGAAUCCUAUCGAUUUUGGAAUCACUCUGUUAAAGGUCAAGGUCACAGGGGCCUGAACAUGGAAAACCAUUUCCGAUCAAUAACUUGAGAACCACUUGACCCAGAAUGUUGAAACUUCAUAGGAUGAUUGAACAUGCAGAGUAGAUGACAUCUAUUGAUUUUUGGGUCAGUCUAUUAAAGGUCAAGGUCACAGUGGCCUGGUCAUGUAAAAUCAUUUCCGGAAAGUAACUUGAGAACCACCUGACCUAGAAUGUUGAAACUUAAUUGGAUGAUUGUACAUGCAGAGUAGAUGACCCCUAUUUAUUAUUGGGUCACUUGAUCAAAGGUCAAGGUCACAGGAGCCUGAACAGUAACUUGAGAACCACUAGGCCAAGAAUGUUGACACUUAGCGGGAUGACUGGACAUGCGAAGUAGAUGAUCCCUAUUGUAGCCGACCAUCAGUGUCUCUUUUUUCGCUCCUGACCCCUAUUGACUUCUUGUUGCCUAUACGACUUUGCAUUGGGGGAGACAUGCGCUUUUUUACAAAAGCAUCUUAUAGUUAAGGCAGUUUACCUCUGGUAUCCAGUUACAAAUGGUUUUCAAUUUUGAAUAGUAAAAGUAGUAAAGACAACUUGUUUCCAUAACAUAUAAUUUGUCUGUAACUAAAUUUUAAAACUCUUCUGAAGGAAUAUGGCAUCUAAAAUUUUUUUCUUUUUUAGCUCAUCUGAUUUUUUGAAAAAAAAUGAUGAGUUAUUGUCAUCACUUGAGCGGUUGUCGGCGUCGGCGUCGGCGUCGGCGUUGCCUGGUUAAGUUUUAUGUUUAGG